GGAGCUGUGGCUCAAAUGGUAGAGCAUUAGUCUUGAAUACAAAAACUCUGGGACAGUGCACAGUUCCU
RNAcentral lists this transfer RNA (68 nucleotides) under Dipodomys ordii (Ord's kangaroo rat). It matches the Rfam family "tRNA". Rfam says of the family: Transfer RNA (tRNA) molecules are approximately 80 nucleotides in length. Their secondary structure includes four short double-helical elements and three loops (D, anti-codon, and T loops). The record is from Rfam by way of RNAcentral. Lineage: Eukaryota; Metazoa; Chordata; Mammalia; Rodentia; Heteromyidae.